UACGUAGGGUCCGAGCGUUGUCCGGAAUUAUUGGGCGUAAAGAGCUCGUAGGCGGUCUGUCGCGUCUGCUGUGAAAACCUGGGGCUUAACCCCGGGCCUGCAGUGGGUACGGGCAGACUAGAGUGUGGUAGGGGAGACUGGAAUUCCUGGUGUAGCGGUGAAAUGCGCAGAUAUCAGGAGGAACACCGGUGGCGAAGGCGGGUCUCUGGGCCGAUACUGACGCUGAGGAGCGAAAGCGUGGGGAGCGAACAGG
This 253-nucleotide ribosomal RNA is filed under the name uncultured bacterium. Its description in RNAcentral is "partial 16S ribosomal RNA". It matches the Rfam family "Bacterial small subunit ribosomal RNA", at positions 524 to 776 of the family's 1533-position model. The record is from RNAcentral.